RNAcentral lists this non-coding RNA (30 nucleotides) under Rattus norvegicus (Norway rat). Lineage: Eukaryota; Metazoa; Chordata; Mammalia; Rodentia; Muridae. The record is from RNAcentral.
CACACACAUUCUACUGUAGGCCUCUUCACU